ACUCCUACGGGAGGCAGCAGUAGGGAAUCUUCCACAAUGGGCGCAAGCCUGAUGGAGCAACACCGCGUGAGUGAAGAGGGGUUUCGGCUCGUAAAGCUCUGUUGUUAAAGAAGAACACGUAUGAGAGUAACUGUUCAUACGUUGACGGUAUUUAACCAGAAAGUCACGGCUAACUACGUGCCAGCAGCCGCGGUAAUACGUAGGUGGCAAGCGUUAUCCGGAUUUAUUGGGCGUAAAGAGAGUGCAGGCGGUUUUCUAAGUCUGAUGUGAAAGCCUUCGGCUUAACCGGAGAAGUGCAUCGGAAACUGGAUAACUUGAGUGCAGAAGAGGGUAGUGGAACUCCAUGUGUAGCGGUGGAAUGCGUAGAUAUAUGGAAGAACACCAGUGGCGAAGGCGGCUACCUGGUCUGCAACUGACGCUGAGACUCGAAAGCAU
This 435-nucleotide ribosomal RNA is filed under the name uncultured bacterium. Its description in RNAcentral is "bacterial SSU rRNA". It matches the Rfam family "Bacterial small subunit ribosomal RNA", at positions 335 to 762 of the family's 1533-position model. The record is from RNAcentral.